CCCGCCUCGCCCACCCCCACGACCAACCCCGCAGCUUCUGGAUCUCCGCACGCGGGGCGGGACCGGCAGCCUCCGCGCGCCCGCUCAUCUGCAUACGCCACGCCCUUGUCGUGACGUCCCGGGCAGCCUGUCUUUCCCUUGCCCGGGCGACAGAAGUCGGGAGAAGCAGGAGAGGUCAGCUGUGACUCCUCUGGUUAACAUGAACGCCCGUUUGUAGUUUACAGUUAGCUUGAGGGCGUUGCCUUUCUCCCCGUCUUCUUCGAACUUUGUUCCCGCCGGGAAAUUUCGCUGUCGCGGGCUCGGCUUGGGGUUCGCUUCCUUUGUCUCGGCCGGCCCCCGUGGCCUCAGAGCCGGGCAGGGCAGGUCGGCUUCGCCUUUAGGGUUCUCUAGAUACGACGCAUUGACUGUGUCGAGUGACACAAAGAAAGUGCAAACAUAUACGGAGCAUGCUACCCUCUGUCUGGGAAAAAAUGUGAACUAGGAGCAACAUACACAGUUUUGCCAAAGGGAACAGAAGACCCGUGAACCAGAACUGAUGAAAUUAGCCGCAGGGGUGAGAGGAAGGAGAGAACGCCGCGUUUCGGAGUGUCCCUGCCUUUCUAGUGUAAGCACACCGAAAUAGAAAAAAAAAUAACCAACUGAAAUGACUUUUGAACGUGGGACGUUGACCAUAAGCAUCUUCAAAUCUAUGGAGAAGAACUGCAAAGAAGGAGCUGUCCCAUCGCAGGCUAGGAACUGAUUGCUGCGCUCACCUUUGACCACCCAGCUCACCUGUGACCACCCAACUUGAGACAACAGACCUGCCACCCUGGUGGGUCCACCGAGACAGCAGACCUCCCUGCUGUGUCCAUCAAUCGCUGUGCCGACAGAGCAGUCUGGCGACUAUUGUAAAAGGGACGUUUCAAUCCUAUGUGAAACAUCCUCUUUGGGAGUAUAUAACCACUCUGUGCACCCCACUUCUUUGGUGCCCUUUCUUCCUUCGGUCCUCACAUUUUAGCUCAGAAUAAACUCACCCCAAAUUUUCAUUUAUAGAUUGGCUAUGGCUUAUUUUCGUCAACAUAGCAAUUCUGUACUAAUGUGUGUAUCGUAGGACUGAGCUAAUGAGUAAGUGGAUGUUGGGGGUCAAGGUUCUCGCGGUUGGAGAAAAGAGAUGCAGGUACGAGAAGGGGGAGGGCAAGGAGGAACCACCUGGUGUUAAGUCGAAAGCUGGAAUUGCAGGUAUCAGCUUGGGCUCCUCAUUUUUAGCCGGUAUAGCUAUGUGCAGGAAGUAUAUGUGUUUCCGAGCUCUGUCCCCUGAAGCGGCGUGGAAGCCGAGACAUCCAGUAGCCAUGAGCAUCCCUAGUGCCCUGACCUUGCUUCCUAGGAGCUGUUCCCCACUGAAAAGAACCAGGGCUCUUUGGAGACAGAGGUGAUCUUCAGGAGUCGGGGAAGGUACAAGAUGAGCCUGGAACACCUUGUGCCAGGAAAGAAGGAAAUGCUCCCAAAAUUACAUGGCCUGGCUUGCUUUUUCUUUUCCUUCUUUCUUUUUUUUUUUUUUUUUAAGGAAGAUUAGCCGUGAGCUAACAUCUGCUGCCAAUCCUCCUCUUUUUGCUGAGGAAGACUGGCCCUGCGCUAACAUCCGUGCCCAUCUUCCUCUACUUUCUAUGUGGGAUGCCUACCACAGCAUGGCUUGCCAAGCGGUGCCAUGUCCGCACCCGGGAUCCCAACCGGCGAGCCCCCGGCCGCUGAAAGCAGAACAUGCACACUUAACCACUGCGCCACGGGGCCGGCCCCAAUGGCCUGGCUUUCAUAGGCCCAAACGCAGAACGUUUGAACAUCGGAAUUAUUAAAGACGGUUCUGCAUUACGAACAACUGAAUAAAAUCACAACCAUGUGUUCAAAGCGACAGUGCCUAGGGAAGGAGGGAAAUUCUAUUGUCCUCCCGACAAUAGACUCCAACUAAUAAAUGCAGAAUCAGUGAUGGAAUUAGAGAAUCAACAUCUGGCAAUCAUAACGCCAGAGUCACCACCGGAUGCUAAAAACCACCGCGUUAAAGUUUGCAGAGGAACAGGAUGUUGACAUAUCCCCAAACUACCUCUACACAAAUUACUUACUAUCACCAAGGGAAACCCUGGUGAACCCCUCUAGUGGCGGAUGGUUGCCGUACACCACCUUAAUCGAGUAAUCAACGUCGACACCACCAAUUGGACCAACUGACUUCGUGUGCCUCCAAAUGUGAGGCCCAGAGAAGGACACCGCAUUUACUUGCUAGGGAGGUCAUAAUAAAGUCCCACACACUGGGUGGCUUAAACAACAGAAACGUAUUCUCUCAGGGGCCCGGAAGCUAGAAGUCCAACAUCAAGGUGUCAGCAGGGCCGUGCUCCCUCUGAGACUCCGGGUCGAGUCUCUCCUUGGCUCUUUCUAGCUUCUAGCGGUGACAGUCAAUCUUUGGCUUGUGGCGACAUCACUCCAACCUCUGCUUCUGUCAUCACAUGGUGUUCUGCCUGCGUGUCUGCGUCUUUACGUGGCACUUUCCUCUUAUACGGGACAGUCCUGUUGGAUGCGGGCCCACUCUAGCGACCUCGUCUUCAAAGAUCCUGUCUCCAAAUAAGGUCACACUCAUAGGUCCCAGGGUUAGGACUCCCACAUAUUUUUGGAGGGACACAAGUCAACCCACAUCAGACACAGCGUCACUGACACAGCCUUCCUGUCCAGAAUGCAUACGGGAGUGCAAUUAUGAGGAAACACAGGACGACCCCCAAACUGAAAGAUGUUUUACAAAUAACUGGCCCGUAGUCUUCAAAAAUGCCUAAGUAAUGGACUACAAAGAAUGACCUGGGCGUUCCCUCAGAUUCGAGUCGGUUAAAGAGACCCGACGACUGAACGCAACAGGUGCUUUUGAAUUUUCCUUUGUGAUAAAGGACAUUAUUGGGACAAUUGAUGGAAGUGGGAUAACGUCUGCGGAGUCGAUAAUAUUGUCCCACUGUUAACUUCUUGAAUUUGAUCACUGCACUGAGGUUAGGGAAGAGAAACCUUUGUUUUCAGGAAACACAAAGAAAGGAAACUCUUCCCGAGACAACCGGCAAUCAGGGAGGGUGCCCCGGUCUGUUUCCGGGGACCCGGGCGCAGCCACAGCCUCAGCCUCAGGAGGCCUCCCCGGCCGCCCGGUCCUCCGGCCCGCUCUGCUGCGCGGCCCCGACCGCCCCCGGUCACACACUCCGCGACCGUCGAGCUCACAUCUGGGGAGGACGCGCGUUCAACCUCCACUUGACCUCCCGAAAGACCCUUCUUGUCUAGAAGAGGACAAGGCAAAUCCGGGAGGCCUGAAACAGGUCCCCGAAGCCCCCAGGACAGAAACGUCACGUUUGUGCCCCUUCGAUUUUCAGAGGCCCUUCAGCACCCCUCCCCUAACCCGCCAGCUUCGCGGUGAAGGGACGCCCUGCCCGGAAAGGCUCUGUUCGCUCUCCUGUCACGGUUGCAAGAAUAGGUCACUAGGGAAUCGGAAAGAAAGGUCCCGAAUGAGGAUUAAACCAAGUUCGUGUUAAACUGUUGACGAAACUCUGACCUCCGACGUAUGUAACGUUCAAGCGACACUCUGUUGCGGUUCCUUUUCGCUGAGAGGAAGGGGAGACCGGACCCGAGCCCGGAGCCGCCCCCCGGGGGACCCCGAGCUGCUGGGCGCCGGCGCCGCGAGACCCCGUCUUCCCGGGCGUCCCCUCCGGGCCCCAGACUCGUCGAGUCUCCCGUGGAGACGCGUAGAUCCCGCGUCCCGGAGGGGGCGACAGGCCGCCGGGGACGUCACGACAAGGGCGUGGCGU
RNAcentral lists this long non-coding RNA (3797 nucleotides) under Equus asinus (donkey). Its description in RNAcentral is "lncRNA (ENSEASG00005035431.1)". The record is from RNAcentral. Lineage: Eukaryota; Metazoa; Chordata; Mammalia; Perissodactyla; Equidae.